Molecule: long non-coding RNA, 1671 nt
Organism: Xenia sp. Carnegie-2017
Lineage: Eukaryota; Metazoa; Cnidaria; Anthozoa; Malacalcyonacea; Xeniidae
Exons: 2
Source: RefSeq, a predicted model, not a curated record
UUGUGUAAUACGAAAGAUGCGAAACGGCAUUGAUAUUUGGCCAAUUGUUGUUGGGCGUAUGGUCGUAAGGAUUUUUGGACGGAGAAGAGUUGAAGAUUUUGUCUGAGAAGCAAGGGCUGCUUAUUGUUGUCGUAGGCAGAUAAGUUUAUACUAUCCUGUUAUUCUAUUUCUUAUUCUUGGAUUGCAAGUUACGUCCUAGUCGCCAUGUUGGAUGAUUUUAACAAAGAUUUCCCUUAUUUACAAUGCAAAUUUAAUCCAACAUGGGGGUAUUCCAUAGUUCUCAUACUCCCAGGGGGGUGGUUGCAACCCUCCAAAAGCUCUCUUUGAUUUAAUAAUAAUAUGAAAAUAGUUAAAGUCUUUCUAUUCUGAAAUCUUUCUUGUUAAUGUGAACGUAACAGAUCAGUUCAAACACUAAGACAUAUUAAUUUUAUAUUGUUUGUAUUUCAUUCUUUUUAUGAUACGUUAACUCUUGCUUUAAGAGAUAUUAGUGAUUAAAUGUGUUGCAAGUCGAGGCGAAAAGUUCGGCGCAAUCCGACGGACUUUUAAUACAUCUCCCGAGGCUUAAGAACAUUUAAUCAUUAAUAUCCCUGAAAGCAUGCGUUUACUUUUUAAUAACAUGGUUUCAGAAGGAAUAAUCAAUGCACGAAACUCUUCAGUUUGACAAUAAUGAAUUCAAUUUUGAGCUCACUUAGAGGCUGAUUACAUGAGCUCGGGUAGCCGGGAUUCAGCGAAGCAAUAAGUGAUUUUGCCAAAUUCAAACGAUUCAAUACUUAUCAUCAGAUAAAUCUUCUCGAGCAAUUUCACAAUAUUAUGGUUUGAUAACUAAAAAUAACAUUUAAAAUUACAGUAACCAAUUUGGCCUAAUUUGACAAUUACAACAGGAAUGACUUGUUGUGCUAUAUAAACAGUUGUAAUUUUUACGCUUGACGUUUCGACUCCUUUCAAUGCGUCGAAAUCAUUUCACGCCUCACUGAAUCCCGGUUACCCGGGAUCAUGUAAACAGCCUUUUACUUUAAUAUUGACAACCAUCGAUGGUGUUUGAAGCGCACAUUGUUCAUGGUCAGUUGUGGAAUAAACAAAUUCAUCUAGCUAUUGAAUUGUGAAUUCUGUUUUUAAAUUGGUUUAGUGAAGCUAUGUAUUAUUUGCUCUGCAAAUACAUAUACUGUACUUUGAUUAUGGUUGAAGUUAUUGAUGGUGGAUCACUGGUUUCCCCAAGUUGGCAUGUAACAAGAAAUUUUCUGACUCGAGGAAAAGACGAUUUCUGUUACCUUUCAACGACAUAAAUUGUGAGGCAAUAAGCUUAUAAUAACGCAAGUUUGGUGAUUUUCAGCGUUCAAACAAGAGGACUUUCGAUUUGUUUAGAUGCAUUAAUUUUGCUUCGGCGCUUUGUCUAAACAGAGGUAAAAUAUCAAAGACUUAUCUUCUAUAACAUUGCUUCGUCAACCAAUGUAUGUAUCUUAAUUUUUCUCUGUUUCCAAAUUUUUUAACACAUUUAAAGUAUUAUUGUUGAUUCGUAAAGGUUAUGAUUUGAGGCAAAACAAAAUUCAAUAAAAUGUUAAAUAUUAGUGGCAGUCGGCAUAAGUGCAUGUUUAUAUAUUCUCAACACACGCUACUCCACACUGGACGAAACAGCUUUGGCCAGCACUUACAAAUAAAACUUUACGAAAACCA